AUAAAAGGGUAAAACCGUCAUUUCAAGUUGU
This 31-nucleotide small RNA is filed under the name Arabidopsis thaliana (thale cress). RNAcentral's name for it is "ATSL121780". Lineage: Eukaryota; Viridiplantae; Streptophyta; Magnoliopsida; Brassicales; Brassicaceae. The record is from RNAcentral.